AGGAAAUGUAGACUUGGAUUAUAUU
This 25-nucleotide non-coding RNA is filed under the name Cricetulus griseus (Chinese hamster). Lineage: Eukaryota; Metazoa; Chordata; Mammalia; Rodentia; Cricetidae. The record is from RNAcentral.